UACAGAGGGGGCAAGCGUUGUCCGGAAUUACUGGGCGUAAAGGGCUCGUAGGUGGCCAACUAAGUCAGACGUGAAAUCCCUCGGCUUAACCGGGGAACUGCGUCUGAUACUGGAUGGCUUGAGUUUGGGAGAGGGAUGCGGAAUUCCAGGUGUAGCGGUGAAAUGCGUAGAUAUCUGGAGGAACACCGGUGGCGAAGGCGGCAUCCUGGACCAACACUGACACUGAGGAGCGAAAGCCAGGGGAGCAAACGGG
This 253-nucleotide ribosomal RNA is filed under the name uncultured bacterium. Its description in RNAcentral is "partial 16S ribosomal RNA". It matches the Rfam family "Bacterial small subunit ribosomal RNA", at positions 524 to 776 of the family's 1533-position model. The record is from RNAcentral.